RNAcentral lists this ribosomal RNA (360 nucleotides) under uncultured bacterium. RNAcentral's name for it is "bacterial SSU rRNA". It matches the Rfam family "Bacterial small subunit ribosomal RNA", at positions 67 to 422 of the family's 1533-position model. The record is from RNAcentral.
CUCCAUUCGGUAGCAAUACUGAUGAAGAGCGAGUGGCGAACGGGUGAGUAGCACGUGAGCAACCUGCCCCGAAGACCGGGACAACACCGGGAAACCGGUGCUAAUACCGGAUAUCCCUAUCGGACCGCAUGAUCUGAUAAGGAAAUGGAUUCCGCUUCGGGAGGGGCUCGCGGCCUAUCAGCUAGUUGGUGAGGUAAUGGCUCACCAAGGCAUCGACGGGUAGCUGGUCUGAGAGGACGAUCAGCCACACUGGGACUGAGACACGGCCCAGACUCCUACGGGAGGCAGCAGUGGGGAAUCUUGCGCAAUGGGCGAAAGCCUGACGCAGCAACGCCGCGUGGAGGACGAAGGCUUUCUGAG